UAACAAAAGUACAAAAACCAUGUAACACAA
This 30-nucleotide non-coding RNA is filed under the name Mus musculus (house mouse). The record is from RNAcentral. Lineage: Eukaryota; Metazoa; Chordata; Mammalia; Rodentia; Muridae.